UACAGAGGGUGCGAGCGUUGUUCGGAAUUAUUGGGCGUAAAGCGCUUGUAGGCGGCUUGUUAAGUUCCGUGUGAAAUCCCCAGGCUUAACCUGGGAAGUGCGCGGAAAACUGGCGAGCUUGAGUGCCGGAGAGGGUCGCGGAAUUCCCGGUGUAGAGGUGGAAUACGUAGAUAUCCGGAGGAACACCAGCGGCGAAGGCGGCUUUCUGGUCCGAUACUGACGCUGAGGUGCGAAAGCGUGGGGAGCGAUCCGG
This 253-nucleotide ribosomal RNA is filed under the name uncultured bacterium. RNAcentral describes it as "partial 16S ribosomal RNA". It matches the Rfam family "Bacterial small subunit ribosomal RNA", at positions 524 to 776 of the family's 1533-position model. The record is from RNAcentral.